AUUGAACGCUGGCGGAAUGCUUUACACAUGCAAGUCGAACGGCAGCACGGACUUCGGUCUGGUGGCGAGUGGCGAACGGGUGAGUAAUACAUCGGAACGUGCCCAGUCGUGGGGGAUAACGUAGCGAAAGCUACGCUAAUACCGCAUACGAUCUACGGAUGAAAGCGGGGGAUCGCAAGACCUCGCGCGAUUGGAGCGGCCGAUGGCAGAUUAGGUAGUUGGUGGGGUAAAGGCUCACCAAGCCGACGAUCUGUAGCUGGUCUGAGAGGACGACCAGCCACACUGGGACUGAGACACGGCCCAGACUCCUACGGGAGGCAGCAGUGGGGAAUUUUGGACAAUGGGCGCAAGUCUGCUCCAGCCAUUCCGCGUGCAGGACGAAGGCCUUCGGGUUGUAAACUGCUUUUGUACGGAACGAAAAAGCUCUUACUAUUACUAGGAGUCCAUGACGGUACCGUAAGAAUAAGCACCGGCUAACUACGUGCCAGCAGCCGCAGUAA
Molecule: ribosomal RNA, 500 nt
Filed under: uncultured bacterium
Lineage: Bacteria
Description: partial 16S ribosomal RNA
Rfam family: Bacterial small subunit ribosomal RNA
Source: RNAcentral